RNAcentral lists this transfer RNA (16 nucleotides) under Chelonoidis duncanensis (Duncan Island giant tortoise). Its description in RNAcentral is "partial tRNA-Thr". Lineage: Eukaryota; Metazoa; Chordata; Testudines; Testudinidae. The record is from RNAcentral.
CAACUUUCCUAGAAUA